Molecule: unclassified non-coding RNA, 334 nt
Filed under: soil metagenome
Description: partial contains 5.8S ribosomal RNA, internal transcribed spacer 2, and large subunit ribosomal RNA
Rfam family: 5.8S ribosomal RNA (bases 1-120)
Source: RNAcentral
GAUGAAGAACGUAGCGAAAUGCGAUACGUAAUGUGAAUUGCAGAUUUCAGUGAAUCAUCGAAUCUUUGAACGCACAUUGCGCCCGCCAGUAUUCUGGCGGGCAUGCCUGUUCGAGCGUCAUUUCAACCAUCAAGCGCCUGCGCUUGUGUUGGAGCCCUGCGGCUGCCGCAGGCUCUCAAACCCAGUGGCGGGCUCGUCGUCGUACCGAGUGCAGUAAAUUUACCACGCUCAGGGCACGCGACGGGUGACCGGCCGUAAAACCCCCAUCUUCUCAAGGUUGACCUCGGAUCAGGUAGGAAUACCCGCUGAACUAAGCAUAUCAAUAAGCGGAGGA